This is a long non-coding RNA of Penaeus indicus, 1174 nucleotides long. RefSeq lists it as uncharacterized. The transcript has 4 exons. The record is from RefSeq and is a predicted model, not a curated record. NCBI's taxonomy places the organism in Eukaryota, Metazoa, Arthropoda, Malacostraca, Decapoda, Penaeidae.
AGGUUCGCAGCGCACACACACGGAGCUUCUCUGCAGUUCUUCUCCGCGCGCGACGCCGGACUCAUAAAGAAGGCCAAGGAACUCCUCAGCCACUUUGCUUUUGGCACCGUCGAGAGCAAAAGUGUGGCGCAGGAUUAUAACAAACCGCUAAUAAUCCCGGCGGGCAGCGACAAUCUGGGCGCCAUUUCGGGCACGGUGGACGACAACCACGCCAUGACGCUGGAUGCUUGGAGGCACACCUUCACGGCAAGGUUCCCGCAGGAACACGAGGAGAAGUCGUCAGUGUUGCCAGAAGACCCAGGACGGGAUCCCAAUUACAGGGAACCCGACGUCGACAACCUCCGCGCUCAGAAGGAUGAGGACCUGGAGCGAGUUCGGCGGGAGGUCGGACGAAGCAGCGCGCGAUGGGCAGACCUCGAUCUCUCGUAGCGCCCUCUUACGCUGACUGAAUCCCCCCUUCCCCCCCAUAUCGAGGACGAGUCACUUUCAUCACACCAAGUGAGGCUGAUGGGCUUCUGAACUCCCCCCUGGAUGACGCCUGGGAUCUCGUGACGCCCCCUGCGAGACCCAUGCCAUGAGUCACCGCCCUCCGCUCUGCUAAUUGUCCUUAACCAGCAAUUAGCGGCGAUGAAUUAUUGACCUCACGACCUUUUACGAGGAGCCUGAAUGUCGUGUGAAUUCUAUUCUUAGCGUCGACGUGAGGAUAGUUUUUUUCGGACUGCUCCAAGAGAAGGAACGUUGUCCAGAUGAACAAUUUGUGAAUUUAUCACUUCUCACUACAGGUUAAUCAUGAGUGGACAUUGCACUAAAAAUUACCCAUAGGUUUCACGAAUGAAUUCCUAUUAAGUUCAUUCUCAGUAUUCACUAAUGUUCUUAAGAUGUCAUGUAUUUACUUACGCUUUCACUUGCACAGAAUACGUCCGUUUAUCUUAUGGCGUGAAGGUAAUUAUGAGCCAUAAAUAUACUUUGAAAUCUACUUUUAUAUCUAAUAUCAGAUGGCAUUAGUUUACAAAAGAAACCACAUGAGGGCAAACUUCAUUUAAAGAUGACUGUAUUAUGUGGUCUUAACAUACCUGUCGCGUGACAGGGUACUUGUAAAUCAACUUAUCUUUUUAUACGUGAAAUAGGUAUGGAUUAAUGACUGAAAAAUGACGAAUAAGAAGGCAGAUAUAUA